UAGGGAAUCUUCCGCAAUGGACGAAAGUCUGACGGAGCAACGCCGCGUGAGUGAAGAAGGUUUUCGGAUCGUAAAACUCUGUUGUCAGGGAAGAACAAGUACGGGAGUAACUGCCCGUACCUUGACGGUACCUGGCCAGAAAGCCACGGCUAACUACGUGCCAGCAGCCGCGGUAAUACGUAGGUGGCAAGCGUUGUCCGGAAUUAUUGGGCGUAAAGCGCGCGCAGGCGGCCUUUUAAGUCUGAUGUGAAAG
Molecule: ribosomal RNA, 253 nt
Filed under: uncultured Bacillus sp.
Lineage: Bacteria; Bacillati; Bacillota; Bacilli; Caryophanales; Bacillaceae
Description: partial 16S ribosomal RNA
Rfam family: Bacterial small subunit ribosomal RNA
Source: RNAcentral